UUAGUGUAAUGGUUGGGGUUAGAGCAAUGCUUCCAACUGAUGCACGCUCCGGGGUUAGAGCAAUGCUUCCAACUGAUGCACCCUCCGGGGUUAGAGCAAUGCUUCCAACUGGU
This is a long non-coding RNA of Cucurbita maxima (winter squash), 113 nucleotides long. RefSeq lists it as uncharacterized. The transcript has 3 exons. NCBI's taxonomy places the organism in Eukaryota, Viridiplantae, Streptophyta, Magnoliopsida, Cucurbitales, Cucurbitaceae. The record is from RefSeq and is a predicted model, not a curated record.